GACGAACGCUGGCGGCGUGCUUAACACAUGCAAGUCGAACGGCAAGGCCCUGCUUUUGUGGGGUGCCCGAGUGGCGAACGGGUGAGUAACACGUGAGUAACCUGCCCUUGACUUUGGGAUAACUUCAGGAAACUGGGGCUAAUACCGGAUCGGAGCUCCUGCUGCAUGGUGGGGGUUGGAUCGUUUCGGCGGUUGGGGAUGGACUCGCGGCUUAUCAGCUUGUUGGUGGGGUAGUGGCUUACCAAGGCUUUGGCGGGUAGCCGGCCUGAGUGGGUGACCGGCGACAUUGGUACUGAGAGACGGCCCAGACUCCUACGGGAGGCAGCAGUGGGAAAUAUUGCACAAUGGGCGCAAGCCGGAUGCAGCAACGCCGCGUGCGGGAUGACGGCCUUCGGGUUGUAAACCGCUUCAGCCUGUGACGAAGCGGGAGUGACGGUAAUGGAUAAAGAAGCACCGGCUAACUACGUG
RNAcentral lists this ribosomal RNA (468 nucleotides) under uncultured bacterium. Its description in RNAcentral is "partial 16S ribosomal RNA". It matches the Rfam family "Bacterial small subunit ribosomal RNA", at positions 28 to 507 of the family's 1533-position model. The record is from RNAcentral.